GACGAACGCUGGCGGCGUGCCUAACACAUGCAAGUCGAACGGAAAGGCCCUGCUUUUGUGGGGUGCUCGAGUGGCGAAGGGGUGAGUAACACGUGAGUAACCUGCCCUUGACUUUGGGAUAACAUCAGGAAACUGGGGCUAAUACCGGAUAGGAGCUCCUGAUGCAUGGUGGGGGUUGGAAAGUUUCGGCGGUUGGGGAUGGAAUCGCGGCUUAUCAGCUUGAUGGUGGGGUAGUGGAUUACCAAGGCUUUGACGGGUAGGCGGCCUGAGAGGGUGGCCGGCCACCAUACGCCUGCGAUAGGCACCAGACUCCUACGGUAGGCAACGGUCGGGAAUAUUGCACAGUGGGCGGGAGCCUGAUACGACGGCGCCGCGUUCGGAAUGACGUCCUUCUGGUUGUAAACCGCUUUCGCCUGUGACGAAGCGUUAGUGACGGUAAUGGGUAAAGAAGCACCGGCUAACUACGUG
RNAcentral lists this ribosomal RNA (468 nucleotides) under uncultured bacterium. Its description in RNAcentral is "partial 16S ribosomal RNA". It matches the Rfam family "Bacterial small subunit ribosomal RNA", at positions 28 to 507 of the family's 1533-position model. The record is from RNAcentral.